RNAcentral lists this ribosomal RNA (261 nucleotides) under uncultured archaeon. RNAcentral describes it as "partial 16S ribosomal RNA". It matches the Rfam family "Archaeal small subunit ribosomal RNA", at positions 748 to 1008 of the family's 1478-position model. The record is from RNAcentral.
CAGCCGUAAACAAUGUGCGUUAGGUGUGUCGGUAACCACGCGUUACUGAUGCGCCGAAGAGAAAUCGUGAAACGCACCACCUGGGAAGUACGGUCGCAAGGCUGAAACUUAAAGGAAUUGGCGGGGGAGCACCACAACAGGUGGAGUCUGCGGUUUAAUUGGAUUCAACGCCGGACAUCUCACCGGAUAAGACAGCUGAAUGAUUGUCAAUCUGAAGGUUUUACAUGACUAGCUGAGAGGUGGUGCAUGGCGUCAGUGACU